AUUGAACGCUGGCGGCGUGCUUAACACAUGCAAGUCGAACGCGAAAGGGACUUCGGUCCUGAGUAAAGUGGCGCACGGGGGAGUAACGCGUGGAUAAUCUGCCCUUAUGUUUGGCAUAACAGUUGGAAACGGCUGCUAAUACCGGAUACGCUCAGAAUGAACUUUUUGAGGAAAGAUGGCCUCUGCUUGCAUGCUAUCGCAUAAGGAUGAGUCUGCGUCCCAUUCGCUUGUUGGCGGGGUAACGGCCCACCAAGGCAACGAGGGGUAGCCGAUUUGAGAGGAUGAUCGGCCACCAUGGAACUGAAACACGGUCCAGACUCCUACGGGAGGCAGCAGUGUGGAAUAGUGCGCAAUGGGCGAAAGCCUGACGCAGCGACGCCGCGUGAGGGAUGAAGGUUUGCGGAUCGUAAACCUCUGUCAGAAGGGAAGAAACUACGUUGUGCUAAUCAGCAGCGUACUGACGGUACCUUCAAAGGAAGCACCGGCUAACUCCGUGCCAGCAGCCGCCGUAA
RNAcentral lists this ribosomal RNA (512 nucleotides) under uncultured bacterium. Its description in RNAcentral is "partial 16S ribosomal RNA". It matches the Rfam family "Bacterial small subunit ribosomal RNA", at positions 30 to 523 of the family's 1533-position model. The record is from RNAcentral.